This 576-nucleotide unclassified non-coding RNA is filed under the name Leishmania donovani. RNAcentral's name for it is "gene:unknown". Lineage: Eukaryota; Euglenozoa; Kinetoplastea; Trypanosomatida; Trypanosomatidae. The record is from RNAcentral.
GAGUGGAAGCCCUGCAGCACGACGUCUAUCGUCUCUUGUCUGUAAGCGCGCACAAGGGGCGCGUGUGCUCAGGUCAUAAGUGAAACUCGUUACUACCGAUCGGUUCGGCCUCACUGCCGCACGCCGCGCAACCGCUUCGCCUCAGCGGGCACAGUAGCACCCGCCACGAGUGCAACCGCGUGAACCAAAAUCCAAUCACGCGCACUCUGCGGGGCAAGUCACUAGUAGGAGGGUGGCUAGCGCUUAGAGCCCCACCCCACCCCUUCUCCGGACCUCUCUCUUUCUCUCCGCCCGAGUUGGUUGCCUUGAUUGUUGCUUGGUUGGUUGCCGCAUCACAGCCACCGUGAUCCCACGACCACCUUGGAGGCUGCUGCUCCUGCGGCGGUGGCGGCUGUUGUGGAGCGGGCGUUUGCAUCAAGGCUCAUCCUUGUGUGUGAGGGUGCGCGUGUCUAUGUGCCCUCUUUAUCUCCCUCCUCGUUCUUUCUCCGCCGCCUCGCGAGUCGUUUUUUUUUUUUGUUUGUUUGUUUUCUCGUUGUUUAUGUGGUGCUUCCUCUUUCGACGAUCGCCCACCUUCUC